RNAcentral lists this ribosomal RNA (235 nucleotides) under uncultured Staphylococcus sp. RNAcentral's name for it is "partial 16S ribosomal RNA". It matches the Rfam family "Bacterial small subunit ribosomal RNA", at positions 105 to 334 of the family's 1533-position model. Lineage: Bacteria; Bacillati; Bacillota; Bacilli; Caryophanales; Staphylococcaceae. The record is from RNAcentral.
GGUGAGUAACACGUGGAUAACCUACCUAUAAGACUGGGAUAACUUCGGGAAACCGGAGCUAAUACCGGAUAAUAUUUUGAACCGCAUGGUUCAAAAGUGAAAGACGGUCUUGCUGUCACUUAUAGAUGGAUCCGCGCUGCAUUAGCUAGUUGGUAAGGUAACGGCUUACCAAGGCAACGAUGCAUAGCCGACCUGAGAGGGUGAUCGGCAACACUGGAACUGAGACACGGUCCAG